Molecule: ribosomal RNA, 461 nt
Filed under: uncultured bacterium
Lineage: Bacteria
Description: partial 16S ribosomal RNA
Rfam family: Bacterial small subunit ribosomal RNA
Source: RNAcentral
AUUGAACGCUGGCGGCAUGCCUUACACAUGCAAGUCGAACGGCAGCACGGGUGCUUGCACCUGGUGGCGAGUGGCGAACGGGUGAGUAAUACAUCGGAACAUGUCCUGUAGUGGGGGAUAGCCCGGCGAAAGCCGGAUUAAUACCGCAUACGAUCUACGGAUGAAAGCGGGGGCCCUUCGGGCCUCGCGCUAUAGGGUUGGCCGAUGGCGGAUUAGCUAGUGGGUGGGGUAAAGGCCUACCAAGGCGACGAUCAGUAGCUGGUCGGAGAGGAGGACCAGCCACACUGGGAAUGAGCCACGGCCCAGAAUCCUACGGGAGGCAGCCGUGGGGAAUAUUGGACAAUGGGCGAAAGACAGCGCCGGCAAUGCCGCGGGAGUGAGGAAGGCCUUAGGGUUGUAAAGCUCUUUUACCCGGGACGAUAAUGACAGUACCGGAAGAAUAAGCUCCGGCUAACUCCGUG